RNAcentral lists this ribosomal RNA (502 nucleotides) under uncultured bacterium. RNAcentral describes it as "partial 16S ribosomal RNA". It matches the Rfam family "Bacterial small subunit ribosomal RNA", at positions 30 to 523 of the family's 1533-position model. The record is from RNAcentral.
AUUGAACGCUGGCGGCAUGCCUUACACAUGCAAGUCGAACGGCAGCAUAGGAGCUUGCUCCUGAUGGCGAGUGGCGAACGGGUGAGUAAUAUAUCGGAACGUGCCCUAGAGUGGGGGAUAACUAGUCGAAAGACUAGCUAAUACCGCAUACGAUCCACGGAUGAAAGUGGGGGAUCGCAAGACCUCAUGCUCCUGGAGCGGCCGAUAUCUGAUUAGCUAGUUGGUGGGGUAAAAGCCUACCAAGGCAACGAUCAGUAGCUGGUCUGAGAGGACGACCAGCCACACUGGGACUGAGACACGGCCCAGACUCCUACGGGAGGCAGCAGUGGGGAAUUUUGGACAAUGGGGGCAACCCUGAUCCAGCAAUGCCGCGUGAGUGAAGAAGGCCUUCGGGUUGUAAAGCUCUUUUGUCAGGGAAGAAACGGUAGUAGCGAAUAACUACUACUAAUGACGGUACCUGAAGAAUAAGCACCGGCUAACUACGUGCUAGCCGCCGCCGUAA